UACGUAGGGGGCGAGCGUUAUCCGGAAUUAUUGGGCGUAAAGAGUACGUAGGCGGGAGCUUAAGCACAGGGUUUAAGGCAAUGGCUUAACCACUGUAUGCCUUGUGAACUGAGCCUCUUGAGUGCAGGAGGGGAAAGCGGAAUUCCUAGUGUAGCGGUGAAAUGCGUAGAUAUUAGGAGGAACACCAGUUGCGAAGGCGGCUCUCUGGACUGUAACUGACACUGAGGCACGAAAGCGUGGGGAGCAAACAGGAUUAGAUACCCCGGUAGUCCCUGA
Molecule: ribosomal RNA, 276 nt
Filed under: uncultured prokaryote
Description: partial 16S ribosomal RNA
Rfam family: Bacterial small subunit ribosomal RNA
Source: RNAcentral